GGAGGAGUUGAGCAACGGUGGCUCUCUUGUCUUGAAAACAAGCGCCAGAAAUGGCAUGUGGGUUCGAAUCCCUCCUCCUCCGCCA
Molecule: transfer RNA, 85 nt
Filed under: Patescibacteria group bacterium
Lineage: Bacteria
Also listed under: 2 other names
Description: tRNA-Ser
Rfam family: tRNA
About the family: Transfer RNA (tRNA) molecules are approximately 80 nucleotides in length. Their secondary structure includes four short double-helical elements and three loops (D, anti-codon, and T loops).
Source: RNAcentral